This 86-nucleotide transfer RNA is filed under the name Schizaea fistulosa. RNAcentral's name for it is "tRNA-Leu". It matches the Rfam family "tRNA". Rfam says of the family: Transfer RNA (tRNA) molecules are approximately 80 nucleotides in length. Lineage: Eukaryota; Viridiplantae; Streptophyta; Polypodiopsida; Schizaeales; Schizaeaceae. The record is from RNAcentral.
GGGGAUAUGGCGAAAUGGCAGACGCUGCGGACUCAAAAUCCGCCGGUCUUUGCAAGACCGUGAGGGUUCGAGUCCCUCUAUCCCCA